This 333-nucleotide long non-coding RNA is filed under the name Sarcophilus harrisii (Tasmanian devil). Its description in RNAcentral is "lncRNA (ENSSHAG00000025096.1)". Lineage: Eukaryota; Metazoa; Chordata; Mammalia; Dasyuromorphia; Dasyuridae. The record is from RNAcentral.
CCCCUUUGCACAGCAGAUGUGAUUCACUAGUCAUGCAGGUACAGAGAGAUCAACUGAACCAUGCUUUAAGCAAGGAAAUUCUUCUCAAUCUCAGAUCUAGAACUGGAAGAGUUCUCAAAGGCUCCCCAGUCCAUUUUCCAGAGAGUGAAAAUGAGUUACUCUAGCCACAGAAUAAGAAGAAUGUUAAACGUCAGAACUCAGAGGGAUGGAGCAUCUAAGUCACUCGAGAAACAUUUUAUUAAACGUUGACUGUUCCAGGUACUGCGCUAAAUUGUGGGAUGCAAAAAGGGGCCAAAGACAGUCCCUGUCUUUAAGGAUAAAAGGAAAUUGAAG